Molecule: ribosomal RNA, 253 nt
Filed under: uncultured bacterium
Lineage: Bacteria
Description: partial 16S ribosomal RNA
Rfam family: Bacterial small subunit ribosomal RNA
Source: RNAcentral
GACAGAGGGUGCAAGCGUUGUUCGGAAUUACUGGGCGUAAAGGGCGCGUAGGCGGUCCGCUAAGUUCGGUGUGAAAUCCCCUGGCUCAACUGGGGAACGGCGCUGGAAACUGGCGGACUCGAGUACCGGAGAGGAGGGUGGAAUUCCUGGUGUAGCGGUGAAAUGCGUAGAUAUCAGGAGGAACACCGGUGGCGAAGGCGGCCCUCUGGACGGAUACUGACGCUGAGGCGCGAAAGCGUGGGGAUCAAACAGG